This 221-nucleotide ribosomal RNA is filed under the name uncultured bacterium. RNAcentral's name for it is "partial 16S ribosomal RNA". It matches the Rfam family "Bacterial small subunit ribosomal RNA", at positions 524 to 730 of the family's 1533-position model. The record is from RNAcentral.
UACGUAGGGAGCGAGCGUUGUCCGGAAUCAUUGGGCGUAAAGAGCAUGUAGGUGGAUCAAUUUAGUCUGCUGUGAAAAGUCAAAAGGGCUCAACCUUUUUGAAAAAGCCGGUGGAUACUGUUGGUCUAGAGUACGGAAAGAGGCGAGUGGAAAUUCCUGGUGUAGCGGGUGGAAAUGCGCAGAUAUCAGGAGGAACACCAAUAGCGAAAGGGCAGCUCGCU